GAUUUUCUGGUACAUUUUACCAGACGGCAGGCCUGGCUAGCAAUCUCAAACUUUGAAUAUGCAAAAAAAGAGAUCUCGUUUGCAUACAUACCUAAAACAAUCUAGGUGUCCCAGUUAAUUUACCUAUAUAUAUAUAUAUAUAGGGAAAAUCCAUCCUACCACCCGAUGGUAGUUACCCACAUGUCUCAUAUACUACCAUGUGGUACUAUAUAUUCUAUUCUAUUAUUUUAAAUAUGUUCAUAUACUAUAUCUAAACUAUUUCAAAGCAAGUUACAUGAAAAAAUUGCAUAUGAGCCCAUAGUUUUUGUUAUAUUUGUGAAAUACGUACAUAUUUGUACAUAAAAAAGAGCAUACUCAAAAAAUGGUACAUACUACCUAAAACUUAGUAUAUAUACUAUCUAAUCAUUGUUAUAUACUACAUACUACACGUACAUACUCUCGCUUUCGACAGAUACUACAUACAACAUACAAAACGCAAGUGGUGGUAACUACCACUGCUUGUAGGAAACAUUUGUCCUAUAUAUAUAUAUACUUGUGAACUAAAUUUCUUGUUAUUACAACUAACAACUAUUUCCACAGGUUCAGAACUAUUUAAUCCAUAAUGGUAGGCAAAUGCAUAAAUAUACUCCUGAAAGAGAAGUGGGUAGACAAAGUAUUGUUGACGAGAUUUAUGUUUUUCUGAAUAUCCUUCGAAUUUUUCCAUUUGUAUUUCUACUUGAAUCAGAGAGAAGAAGCAUUUCUCAGUUUAUCGAAUGAUGAUACAUAGUGCAAUAUGGUCAGAACAGGGUGUUGCAUUUUUAAUACAAACCCUGGAAAGAAAGGGAGUCUAAUCCACAGAUCUUUUUUUGCUCCUUUUCUACCCAAUUAGUUUAUGUUUGUUCUAAUUAAAAAAAGAACAUAACAAGUUUUUAUUUUUGCAGGCAAUCGCUCUUUUGACUUUGCAAUACAGCCUCUUUAUCAAUAUACUGCUUCUUUUACACAUUAAAUCCAUAACAUCCCUUAUUCAACCCAUAAUCAAGAAUAAUUAGGAUUUCUAAAAAAAGAAAAAAAAUAAAGGGUCCACUCAUAGGAAAACCCAACCUUUCCCCGCAUCCGGCACUAAUCUAUUUUUAACUUCUAAUUAGAGCGGGGAAUCAUUCCAAUUAGGAAGUUUAGCUCGUUGCUUUUUAUUUUACCAAAAUUGGAGCCAGGCUCUAUCCAUUUAUUCACUAGACCCAGAAAAUCGUAAUUUUGGAUUCCAUUCAAAAAAGAUUGAUUUUAUUACGACAUGCUAUUUCUUCCAUUCAUUACCUUUGAGGAUCAGUCGUGGUCUUCUAGACUCUACCAAGAGUCUGGACGAAUUUGUUGUUUCAUCCAAAUGUGUAAAAGAUCAUAGUCGCACUUAAAAGCCGAGUACUCUACCAUUGAGUUAGCAACCCAGAUAAAAAAGGAUCUUAGAUACGAUCGAAAUCCAAAAACCAAUGAAAUUACACCGCGCACUUCUGUCAAAACAUUGAACUAGCAAGACAUCAAAAGAUUUUUUUUAUCGACCAUGAAACACACUCAAAUGCCAAAACGAACAGGUCAGGUUAAAUUCCACUAAAGUAAAUUUAAAAAAAGAGCGACCCUAAUCACGAUGGCCGAAUUCUCCUUAUUUUUAGCGAUUUUUAUUAAAAAUAUAUAUAUAUUAUAUUGUAUGAGAAUACAUGCAAGAGGAACACCCUUAUCAUUUGAGCGAAGUGUAGGCAGAAAAAUUGAAUAUGGAGUGAGGAUAAAGAGACCCAUCUAUCUACAAAUUCUAUUUGUUCAAUAGACCUUUGUCAAUGGAAAUACAAU
RNAcentral lists this long non-coding RNA (1815 nucleotides) under Triticum aestivum (bread wheat). Its description in RNAcentral is "long non-coding RNA (TAES_LNC008608)". Lineage: Eukaryota; Viridiplantae; Streptophyta; Magnoliopsida; Poales; Poaceae. The record is from RNAcentral.